AGGAUGAACGCUGGCGGCGUGCCUAAUACAUGCAAGUCGAGCGGUAAGGCCACUUCGGUGGUACACGAGCGGCGGACGGCUGAGUAACACGUAGGAACGUACCCCAAAGUGAGGCAUAAGCACCAGAAAUGGUGUCUAAUACCGCAUGUGGCCUAACAGGCUAAAGCUCCGGCGCUUUGGGAACGGCCUGCGCAUGAUUAGCUUGUUGGUGAGGUAAAAGCUCACCAAGGCAGUGAUCAUUAGCUGGUCUGAGAGGAUGACCAGCCAGACUGGGACUGAGAACGGCCCAGACUCCUACGGGAGGCAGCAGUAGGGGAAUUUUCCACAAUGGGCGAAAGCCUGAUGGAGCAACGCCGCGUGCAGGAUGAAGGCUCUAGGGUCGUAAACUGCUUUUAUCUGUGACGAAUAUGACGGUAGCAGAUGAAUAAGGAUCGGCUAACUCCGUGCCAGCAGCCGC
RNAcentral lists this ribosomal RNA (457 nucleotides) under uncultured bacterium. Its description in RNAcentral is "SSU rRNA". It matches the Rfam family "Bacterial small subunit ribosomal RNA", at positions 26 to 518 of the family's 1533-position model. The record is from RNAcentral.